GAUGAACGCUGGCGGCGUGCCUAAUACAUGCAAGUCGAGCGAACAGAUGAGGAGCUUGCUCCUCUGACGUUAGCGGCGGACGGGUGAGUAACACGUGGAUAACCUACCUAUAAGACUGGGAUAACUUCGGGAAACCGGAGCUAAUACCGGAUAAUAUAUUGAACCGCAUGGUUCAAUAGUGAAAGACGGUUUUGCUGUCACUUAUAGAUGGAUCCGCGCCGCAUUAGCUAGUUGGUAAGGUAACGGCUUACCAAGGCAACGAUGCGUAGCCGACCUGAGAGGGUGAACAGGCAAACGGGAAACGGAAAAAGGGCCAGACUCCCUAGGGGAGGCAGAGGUGGGAAUUUUCCCGAAAGGGGCGAAGCCCUGACGGAGCAACCCGGGGGGGGUAAGAAGGGUCUUCGGAUCGUAAAACUUUGUUUUUGGGAAAAAAAAAAUGUGUAAAAAACUAUGCCCGUCUGGACGGAACCAAAGAAAAAACCCACGCCAAACUCCGU
Molecule: ribosomal RNA, 497 nt
Filed under: uncultured bacterium
Lineage: Bacteria
Description: partial 16S ribosomal RNA
Rfam family: Bacterial small subunit ribosomal RNA
Source: RNAcentral